UACACACACAAUCAGCCGCAUGCACCCCAACCCUUUUCCCUCUUCCCUCUCUCGAUUACACACCUGCCAUCGGAGAAACUCUGUUCGGCCGGCACCGUUCACCGGCGACCUCUCCGUCGCACACCCAUGAUCUCCUCCUUCUCCACCGGCCAUGAACACAACUUUGCCUCCCUCCUCUCCCCUCGGUUUCACGGCGCGAAGUCCACAGCCGGUCACUGAUAAUACACCGGUAAUGGCCGACAGUGGUCGUGGUGCUGUUUUCUAAGCCGCGACCCAGCCCCGUCUUUCCCUUGUCCUCUCUCUUGACCCCUCUCAGGUCCGGUCAAUGCUGGUUGUCUUUAUGGCGACCCACCGGUAACGGAAUGAUAACGAUGAUGAUGAACUACAGACGAUGAUGACGAUGUUGUGAUGAAUGGUGAAGGAUGACAACGACGGUGGUGACUAUGCCAGGUAAGUUCCAGCUUCGGGUUCGAGUUCGGUUUGGUUUCGGUUCGUUCAGGAUGGUCAGACUCCAGCGGGUUCGUUUCGAAGCAGGUCGGGUUCGACUCAGGUAACCAGUCAGCAGAUUCGGUUCGGAUCUCGUCUGGUUCAGUCUUGGGUCGCACAACCACAUGUUCCUCACCAUUCGGACGUGUUUGAUGGACUAUUAAGCAAGUAACUAACCUUACCGAGCAAACCAAGGUGAGUUCACACUUUCUACAAGGCAUGGGAUUCCCAGGGGUUGGGAAUGGGUAAAGGAUUUAAACUGAAACUGCAUGAUCUCCUGGUUUGGGACACGUACACACCCUCUUUAUUGAAGGGUGACAACACGUGAUAAGAAUAUAAUCGGAACCUGCGUAAUCUCCUGGUUUGGGGAUUACGUACACACCCUCUUUAUUGAAGUGUGACAACACGGAUACUAGACCAAAACUCUCUAUCAUGAAGUCCCUCCUUUUAUAUCGACUUAAUCGCCGGGCCAAUGGCGAGCGGGUCAUUAGUUAGAUAGCGCUAUUUAGGUUUGACAAGCCUCACACCGUGCCGCAGAGGACGGGCGUGAACUAAUGGAUCUGGGCACGUCAAUGAUGAUAGACAUUGACAUUAGGGCACCAACUUACUUCAGUCAGUGGUCGAUAUGGUAAACGGGUCUAGUGGUUCACAUGGGGAAGCCCCCGCUGGUUAUGGUUUGGGAAGAAGGAAUUGGUUAAUCAUAUUUGCAACUAUGGGGUAACCCCCACGACAAGUCUAUAUGCUUAUAUUAGUUGCAACUUGUUGUCUGGGAAGCUGGAGUGGUCAUGGGUCGAGAUACAUGGAAUCGCAAUACAAGCUCAAUGGUUUAUGUACUCUUGGUCUACUAAACACUUAACAAAUGAUUUAUGCUUCCGCUGUACAAAAUGAAUGAUAUGUAACGUUUGUAACGCUUUAUAUUAAUAAAUGAAAGUUUUAUUA
This 1425-nucleotide long non-coding RNA is filed under the name Helianthus annuus (common sunflower). RNAcentral describes it as "hypothetical non coding rna". Lineage: Eukaryota; Viridiplantae; Streptophyta; Magnoliopsida; Asterales; Asteraceae. The record is from RNAcentral.